Molecule: non-coding RNA, 28 nt
Filed under: Mus musculus (house mouse)
Lineage: Eukaryota; Metazoa; Chordata; Mammalia; Rodentia; Muridae
Source: RNAcentral
UGAUUACCUGUGGCUCAACUACCAGCCA